AGCUCGUACUUUUUUUGUUUUUGGCUUGCGUUUUGCGUAUCUGACCGAUUACAGCUGAGUGCAUUUAAAAAAAGAAAUCAGCAUUAAGCGAGACUGGAUUCCGAUUCCGAUUGGGAAUGGGUAAAAGCACGAUGCUGGGCUUUUUCGGAAUCUUUUCGCAGGGUGCACGCAGUCGAAACAGACAAAACAAAAUCAUUUUCCAAUUUCACGCUUCAAAUAAUUUACUAAUUAGAUUUGCAUAUAAUUUUUUGGCAGCCCGCAUGUCCCAUUUUGCUACCAAACACAAAAAAACUCGGCAUGCUCGCUGACUUGGCAAGCUGGAGGGCAAAAGUGUAUCCAGUGGAUAGUGGAUCCAGUAUCCGGAUGCAGAAUCCUGUCGGGUGCAAUAAAAGUCCUGCGAAAGUUUUGUUUGCUAAAUAGUUGGUUACAAAUUUUGUAAACUCCAGGCUUUUCACUGCUGGCAGCUUCUAUUUUUUUGCGGCCAACCAACAUGCAUCCAAACAAUUUAGCAGAGAUCAUCAUAAUUUGCAUUUUGAUUUGGCCAAACGGUACAGAGGAACGAUAACAACAAGUUCAGGGCUGGCAAAGCACCUAAAUAUUAUAUAAUAAAAUAAUAUAUAAACCAAAUAUUAUUUUAUAAAUAUUUAUAUGUAAAUAAAAUAGGAUUAUAUUUUUUGCUAAUAAUGA
This is a long non-coding RNA of Drosophila santomea, 687 nucleotides long. RefSeq lists it as uncharacterized. NCBI's taxonomy places the organism in Eukaryota, Metazoa, Arthropoda, Insecta, Diptera, Drosophilidae. The transcript has 2 exons. The record is from RefSeq and is a predicted model, not a curated record.